RNAcentral lists this small nuclear RNA (148 nucleotides) under Microtus ochrogaster (prairie vole). Its description in RNAcentral is "U1 spliceosomal RNA (ENSMOCG00000004263.1)". It matches the Rfam family "U1 spliceosomal RNA". From Rfam's summary of the family: U1 is a small nuclear RNA (snRNA) component of the spliceosome (involved in pre-mRNA splicing). Its 5' end forms complementary base pairs with the 5' splice junction, thus defining the 5' donor site of an intron. Lineage: Eukaryota; Metazoa; Chordata; Mammalia; Rodentia; Cricetidae. The record is from RNAcentral.
AUACUUACUUGCCAGGGGACCCCAUGAUCACAAAGUGUGAGCUUAUCCAUUACGCUCUGGAUUUCGUGACCCCUGCGAUUUCCCCAAAUGUGAGAAACUUGCCUGCCUAGUUUGUGGUAGUGGGGCUCUACAUUCAUGUUCUUUCCUU